AGAUUGAACGCUGGCGGCAUGCCUAACACAUGCAAGUCGAACGGCAGCGCGGGUAGCAAUACCUGGCGGCGAGUGGCGGACGGGUGAGGAAUACAUAGGAAUCUACCCUGUCGUGGGGGAUAACGUAGGGAAACUUACGCUAAUACCGCAUACGACCGAGAGGUGAAAGCGGCGGACCGCAAGGCGUCGCGCGGCUGGAUGAGCCUAUGUCCGAUUAGCUAGUUGGCGGGUAAGAGCCCACCAAGGCGACGAUCGGUAGCUGGUCUGAGAGGAUGAUCAGCCACACUGGGACUGAGACACGGCCCAGACUCCUACGGGAGCAGCAGUGGGGAAU
Molecule: ribosomal RNA, 334 nt
Filed under: uncultured soil bacterium
Lineage: Bacteria
Description: bacterial SSU rRNA
Rfam family: Bacterial small subunit ribosomal RNA
Source: RNAcentral